UACGUAGGGGGCUAGCGUUAUCCGGAUUUACUGGGCGUAAAGGGUGCGUAGGUGGUUUCUUAAGUCAGAGGUGAAAGGCUACGGCUCAACCGUAGUAAGCCUUUGAAACUGGGAAACUUGAGUGCAGGAGAGGAGAGUGGAAUUCCUAGUGUAGCGGUGAAAUGCGUAGAUAUUAGGAGGAACACCGGUGGCGAAGGCGGCUUUCUGGCCAGUUACUGACGCUCAUGCGCGAGAGCUGGGUUAGCGAACCGGAUUAGAUACCCCCGUAGUCCCUGAGCGGGCUGG
RNAcentral lists this ribosomal RNA (285 nucleotides) under uncultured prokaryote. Its description in RNAcentral is "partial 16S ribosomal RNA". It matches the Rfam family "Bacterial small subunit ribosomal RNA", at positions 524 to 819 of the family's 1533-position model. The record is from RNAcentral.